GCGGAGCCCCGCGGACAUCGCCAGCGCGAAGCGCGCCCCAAGCUUGGCAUCCUCCUGCGGCUGGAGCAAGGCCAGAGUCACUGGAGGGACCCGACCCCGACACAUCCUUCCCUGGACCUGAAGCCAGAGGACAGCCCUGAGGAAGGAACCUUAAGGUAAUUGAGGCAGGUCCCCGGGAAUGCUGCCUGGGGUGAUAGCGAACAUGAGUUUCUAUUUUCCAAUCAAACAUUGAACACUCUAAACAACUGGAGGAUCUAAAAAUUAAAAAAAACAAAAACCAACAACUUAAGGCUUGAUAAAGUCCAGCUACGUAGCCAGCCAGGAAGCCCGGUCUCUGGUCUUCUCAGAGGUCCUGACCCUGCCUGCUGUCUGUGCCACCUCAUCGUUUCCCCUGUCGAGGGCCCCUGAGGCGGCAUUAGUUGGCCAGUCUCUCCUCCGUGCCAUCCCUGCAGAUGGUUGUAAGCAACCGAGAGCAGCAUCCGGGCUUCACACAGAAUCAUCUCUCUGAAACAACAACAACAACAAACAGGAGAGACCAGCCGAAAGAUGCCGUUUAAAAAUAAUGCGGUUACUCAUGGAACUGGAUGCGCUUUUGCAUGUGAAGGAGACGGGCAGGGAACUUUAGCUGAGGACCGGUGAGGACAUGACCCACGUUAGGCUCUUUUCUGCCUAACGACUCAGAGGCCAUCUCUCAUUGGCUGCAGGAGAGAGCUUCUCUCCAUCCCAUUGGAUGGGACUUUACCAGCGGGCCCUUAGUCCUCUGCUAAACCCGUGGCAGGUACUCCAUUGUGGUCCAAGUGGCUGCAGCUUGGGAGUCCAGAAAUCCAGGUUCUAGAGCUGCCCCAUGUCCCCGACAGAAAAGCAGUUAUCCCAUACCAGUGACACCAGCAUCUUUGCCUCCUUCAAGAGCACCAUUGUCUCAAGCAGCAGGGGUACAGCGCCUUCUUCUUCUGCUUGUUCAGGACCUGGCCACAAACCCAAGGGCAGGCUGAGUCCAGAAUCCAGGGUCUCAGAACAGCAGAGUGCAGGCUUGCCUGGACCCGGCUUCCUGGGAAAACAGGGUUCUGAGGGAGGCCUGGAUGAGCCGAAAAGGAUCUUCUCUCGUUUGCAGUUAGAAGACAAUUAAGACAGGAUCCAGUACAGCUUCGUGUUAAAAGCCAGUCACUGCUGAAUUCCUCAUGGGUAGGAGGAGGAUGGGAAGUGAGGAGGCAUGACAUGCAUGUGGGGGAAAUCUUAGCUGGUGGUUAAUUGCAUGAUUUAAGUUCCAUAGGGCUCUGCACCCCCUGGGGAGACCCGGCUUCCACACUACAUGCUUAAUCCCUGGAGAAUGUCACUGUCACUCAGGGGCCUCAGCCAGGCAAUCGGUGCCUCUGGGAGAGAGGGGAUUCCUUCAUCCCAACCCUCCCCCAGCACCCUCCUCUGUCUCCUCUUUUCACCUGCCUGCCUGUCUGUCUGUCAGGCCAGUUGGUCGUCAGAGCAUAAACAUUUCAGGCUGUGUGCCCACCAGCUCUGGGAUCAGGUGACCAUUAUGGAAGGCUACACCGGAGGCCUCUGCAUGCCAGCAUGUCGCCAGGAACAGUGAGAGCCUGUGAUGUGCUGACCUCACAGAGUGGGCACCCGUGCAGCUGGCCUGGAGUGAGUGCCUCUCCCUGGUAUGGCUUCUUUGAUCAUCCCUAGGCCGCCCUGCAGGCACAGGAAGCCCUGCUGGUUCUCUCUCUGGACAGAUGGUAGGUCUACAAGCUGUUAGUGCAGUCCCUUUGCCUCUUGGAACCUCUGUGUCACUUUCUGAAAGACAGAAGCAGAGCCAGGUGUGGUGGCACAUGCAAGUUUCUUGAUCAGGAGGUGGAGGCAGGAGAAUUGGGGUUUCAAAGUCAUUUUUGGCUACUUAGGGAGUUUGAGGCAAGCCUGGAUCACAUGAGACUCUGACUCAGAAAAACAAAAAGAAAACAAUGAGGUUACUGUGAGGGUGAAAUGAAAAAACAGGACAAUGUCAUCUGGCUUCUGAUGGGACUCAGUAA
This is a long non-coding RNA of Peromyscus californicus insignis, 2018 nucleotides long. RefSeq lists it as uncharacterized. The record is from RefSeq and is a predicted model, not a curated record. NCBI's taxonomy places the organism in Eukaryota, Metazoa, Chordata, Mammalia, Rodentia, Cricetidae. The transcript is spliced from 4 exons.